Long non-coding RNA from Amblyraja radiata (thorny skate), 172 nucleotides. RefSeq lists it as uncharacterized. The transcript is spliced from 3 exons. The record is from RefSeq and is a predicted model, not a curated record. Lineage: Eukaryota; Metazoa; Chordata; Chondrichthyes; Rajiformes; Rajidae.
ACCAACAUCCUUGUGUGCACGUUUACUAUUGCUACCUGGGAAGGUUUAAACCAGAUUGGCAAGGUGUUUAGAUCCAAUGCAGUAUGAGGCAGUUGGGAGGCUGGAAGUCAAUAAAGAAUUCAAUAACACCAAGUUCAGAAGACAGAAUAGGCAGGAGUACAGCAGGGAGCGA